RNAcentral lists this long non-coding RNA (1559 nucleotides) under Marmota monax (woodchuck). The record is from RNAcentral. Lineage: Eukaryota; Metazoa; Chordata; Mammalia; Rodentia; Sciuridae.
UAUGUAUUCCUUGGGAAAAUAUCUGGUUGCCAAUUAUGUGAGUUUUGUCCAAUUUUAUACCUAUUCUGACUAAUACAGAAUCAAACUUUCUUAUUCUCUUAUUAUCUUACUUUAUUUUUGGUUCAGAAAUCUUAUCCAAAAAUUUCCAUUGACAGACCAUGAUACCCUUUACACAGAAAGAAUAAAUAUUUUAAAGUUACCAUGCAUAAGGUCCAAAAAUGUAUACUUUUCUCCUUACAAUGCUAAGCUUUGAACCAGAAAUAAAUGAAUAUUUUACACUAGGCAUAUCAGUUCAAAAAUGAUAAUGUAUUCUUUAUAUGUGAAGAUAAUACAUUUGACUCAUAAACAUAGCUUUUAGCAUUUCUUAACCAUAGUUAAUAGGUUCAUACUGAUUCAUCCACACUUUCUUUCCCACUCUGUCUUAUUUUGUAAGCAAAGGACAAUUUGUGAUUAGUAAGAUAUCCAGGUCAUAAGCCAUUGUUAUGGAAAAUAGCAAGGUUAAAAUAAAAGAAAUAGAACAAAUUUUUAAAAAUCCUUCAUUGAUAUUUUUUAGCCAUACCUAUCAAGUGUUACUUAAAUCUAGGAUACUAUGAACUUUAGAUGAUCAACAUUUAAAUGAAUAUUGGUUUGACCAAAACUUCUGGUCAUAAUGGUAUGCAGAGCUGGUCUCCCUUCAUGCAGUAUACACAGUCUUAAGGUUAAACUUGGGAGAGGAAAUUCUAAAUGUAUAAAGCUGUAAUUAUCUUAGGUCAAAACUAUAUAACUCCUUUCCCCCUAUUUUGGUAUAGGGACUUCAAUGUACCAUUGUGUGCAAAAGGAAAAAUAAUAUAGAUCAUUAUAAACAUUAUAACGAAUUUCAUGAAAAAAGUAUUAGUCUUCAAUUUCUUCAGUGCUGCCCAAAGAAGAGCAGAAGCUAUAUCAUGAAAAUUGAAGAAUUUUUGAAAACUGACAUAUUAACAUAAUGUUUAUAACUUUUAUAAAUACUGAAUCAGACCUGUUACAUUCAAUCAUUUUAGGUUCCUGAAGAUAAAAGUUUUAGUAAUUUUUAGCAUGUAUCAGAUUUAUUCCACAGAAGAACUAACUUGUUUUCUUUUUUUUAAAGGAGGUAACUAUUACUGUUUAGCAAUGGCACAACAGUUUUAUUCGGCCUGAAAGGUCCUCGCUGGCUUUACAUAAAUGAAGAUGCUUGUGAUUCCAGUUUAUCUCUGAAACUAUUCAACAUGGAGUAUUUUCAAUUGUGUUUAUCAGCAAAGCUUUGUUUACUGAAGCAGCUAUUCAAUCUGUUACAUUAAAAAAGGAAUAUGUGUAAAUUUUAAAAUCAAUGAUGUAAACAUUGUCCUCACAUUAGAUUGACCAGUUUAAGAAUAUGAACUAAAUCCUAAUGGCUAAAGUAACUUGACCAUAUUUGAUGCUUUUCUAUGAUCAUUUCAGCUUGGCUUUUUGUCUUUUAAGAAAAAAAUACUGUAGUGUGUUAGAGACUAGAUUCUUAUAUGUAUGGUUUCUCUGUUCUUCCAUAUAUUAAGUUAAAGAAUGAUUUCUUUGUUAAAAAAUGUACUUGC